AUGGGAGCUGGGGCACCGCGAGUCGACGAGAAAAGCAUUGACGCAUGGCGCCAGCAGCGUGUUUGCCGGAUGACGGAGUGCUCACGAGGCAACGAUGGCAAGUUUCCACGGCGAUGUAGGGCAGCUAUGAUGAACUGCACGGUGGACAGGGCAUUCAUGGAAGCUGGGCGUCGCGAGUCAACGAGCAAAGCUAUCACGCAUGGGCAUGGCAAUGACAGCCCGUUCCAUGCGGGCUGA
RNAcentral lists this ribosomal RNA (237 nucleotides) under Triticum aestivum (bread wheat). RNAcentral describes it as "partial small subunit ribosomal RNA". Lineage: Eukaryota; Viridiplantae; Streptophyta; Magnoliopsida; Poales; Poaceae. The record is from RNAcentral.